This 465-nucleotide ribosomal RNA is filed under the name uncultured bacterium. RNAcentral describes it as "partial 16S ribosomal RNA". It matches the Rfam family "Bacterial small subunit ribosomal RNA", at positions 338 to 795 of the family's 1533-position model. The record is from RNAcentral.
CCUACGGGAGGCAGCAGUGAGGAAUAUUGGUCAAUGGGCGCGAGCCUGACGCAGCGACGCCGCGUGAGGGAUGAAGGUCUUCGGAUCGUAAACCUCUGUCAGCAGGGAAGAACGGUCACUGUGCUAAUCAGCAGUGAAUUGACGGUACCUGCAAAGGAAGCACCGGCUAACUCCGUGCCAGCAGCCGCGGUAAUACGGAGGGUGCGAGCGUUAAUCGGAAUUACGGGGCGUAAAGCGCUCGUAGGCGGUAUGUCAAGUCAAGGGUGAAAUCCCCGCGCUCAACGUGGGAACUGCCUUUGAAACUGGCAAACUGGAGUGUGUGAGAGGAUAGUGGAAUUCCAGGUGUAGGAGUGAAAUCCGUAGAUAUCUGGAGGAACAUCAGUGGCGAAGGCGACUAUCUGGCACAUAACUGACGCUGAGGAGCGAAAGCGUGGGUAGCAAACAGGAUUAGAUACCCCUGUAGUC